AUACGGAGGGUGCGAGCGUUAAUCGGAAUUACUGGGCGUAAAGCGUGCGUAGGCGGAUUAUUAAGCAAGAUGUGAAAGCCCAGGGCUCAACCUUGGAACUGCAUUUUGAACUGGUAGUCUAGGGUACUGUAGAGGGUGGUGGAAUUUCCAGUGUAGCGGUGAAAUGCGUAGAGAUUGGAAGGAACAUCAGUGGCGAAGGCGGCCACCUGGACAGAUACUGACGCUGAGGCACGAAAGCGUGGGGAGCGAACAGGAUUAGAAACCCUAGUAGUCC
RNAcentral lists this ribosomal RNA (274 nucleotides) under uncultured bacterium. RNAcentral's name for it is "partial 16S ribosomal RNA". It matches the Rfam family "Bacterial small subunit ribosomal RNA", at positions 523 to 796 of the family's 1533-position model. The record is from RNAcentral.